AACAAAGGAAAAAUUAGACAUAAUGCUAUGCCACACAACUGACAUGGAUGUCAGCUCUGAACUUCAACUACAAUGAUUUGAAGUAAAGAAUACUACAAAGCCUACUUCUUUCCAAGAGUUCAAAGCAUCUUCCAUGAGGAUGUCCCUUCAUUUUUUUCUCUACAACAAAGAUGUCAAACUGCCAGCCCAUGGGCCAGAC
Long non-coding RNA from Crotalus tigris (Tiger rattlesnake), 199 nucleotides. RefSeq lists it as uncharacterized. The record is from RefSeq and is a predicted model, not a curated record. Lineage: Eukaryota; Metazoa; Chordata; Lepidosauria; Squamata; Viperidae. The transcript is spliced from 3 exons.